CUUGAGGGGAAUGUUGGCUGGCUCGAGGCUUUUCUUUUCACCCACUUACACCUUCCCUCGUUCUAUAAAUUAAAGCUUCGGACCAGGCUUCAUUCCCCUCAAA
RNAcentral lists this microRNA precursor (103 nucleotides) under Cicer arietinum (chickpea). Its description in RNAcentral is "mir-166 microRNA precursor family". It matches the Rfam family "mir-166 microRNA precursor family". From Rfam's summary of the family: This family represents the plant microRNA (miRNA) precursor mir-166. The record is from Rfam by way of RNAcentral. Lineage: Eukaryota; Viridiplantae; Streptophyta; Magnoliopsida; Fabales; Fabaceae.